CAGAGUUCAUGCCCUAACGGGUAGAUCUCCCACCCUUGAGUAUUAUACUUUUGUUGCUUUGGCGGGCCGCCUAGGCUACCGGCUUCGGCUGGUGAGUGCCCGCCAGAGGACCCAAAACUCUGAAUUAUAGUGUUGUCUGAGUACUAUAUAAUAGUUA
This 157-nucleotide unclassified non-coding RNA is filed under the name uncultured fungus. RNAcentral describes it as "sequence contains ITS1, 5.8S rRNA gene". The record is from RNAcentral. Lineage: Eukaryota; Fungi.